Molecule: long non-coding RNA, 117 nt
Organism: Haliotis rubra (blacklip abalone)
Lineage: Eukaryota; Metazoa; Mollusca; Gastropoda; Lepetellida; Haliotidae
Exons: 3
Source: RefSeq, a predicted model, not a curated record
CAGCCUCAAUAAUCUCCAGGGUAUACGUUACGAUCACUCUCCACUCUACCCUGGAUGUAUCCACGGCUUGGCCCGGUAAUUAUAUUACCCCCUUUGUUGGCCCCGCAUUCAUCACAG